CCGAAAUGGCAUACUGCCUACUAUCUACUUACCUACUCAAGCAGUAGCUACUGCCUACUGACUACUCAAAGAUGAUUUGAGUAUGCCGCGGCUGCCCGAGCGUUUACACACAUACAUACUAAAUACCCCAGAAUGCAUUUCGUGCCGGCCGGACGCAGCGCCGGGAAAAUUUAAAUAGUCCUACCACAAGCUACACAGAACGACUGCAUCCCGGACAAAUUAUAUAAAUUCAUUCAAUAAUAAUAUUUUUUCUAGCGAGAAAGUAAGUGUUUACAUCACGAUUAUGAGCCCAGUUGUUUGAAAUAGUGGCUGUUUGUAAAUUUGUCUCGGCGUUUUCGGAGACCGAAGCGUCCACUUGGUCGGUGUUUGCGUCUAUUUACCGUAAACACCGGGCAGCAGCAGCUCCCCCUUCACGUUUCCAAAUUAUUGCGAAGUGUUUUCAUAAUCAACAUCUACACGACACAAACCGGGCGACAGUGGAUGAAAAAAUCACACAAACAUCCGUGUAUCCAUGGUGAUAAUGCUAUACACCACCUGCUAGGCGUGUGAUGAGCAGCAGAGGGCUGCAAAAUGACCAACACACAACAUAAUUAUUAUGACCUCGUUCGGUUAUUCCUUGGCAAAUACAUCAUUUCCCGACUACAUUCUUUUCAUGUACAAUGAUUAUUUCAGAAACCAUCAGAUUUUCAAUCACAAGUAAGAAUUAGUAAAGCUCACAUAGAUUGUCAACUGGAAACUCCCCCGUUUGUAUAUUCUGAACCAUGUGCUCUCUACCAAAGAUAAUUUUUAUUAAUCAGAGGUCUGAGCUUAAUAUGAGCGACCACUUUGAUGAUGCAUUCAGAGAUGAGAAGAUGCUCAAACUUGAUGUAAUAAAUACAUCUUUAAUAGACGCUUAAAUAAAUAAAUAAAGUAAAUUCAUACGAAUAGUUAAAAACAUUACUUAUAAUCCUAAUUUAAAAUACAAAUAAAUCUGGUAAAAAGAUCAAAAUAUGAUAAAAUAUAUAUCAUUAUUAUUGCAAUCACAUGCCAUCUAUUUCUUUUCAGCCUCGGGAAGGAGGGCCAUAUUACCAGCUGAGGUGCGCAAUGCAUUGUGGGGCAGAAGCAGUACGUGAAGCAAGCUCCGUUGCACACUCAGAAAUCGAAGCUGAUUGAGUAUACAUCCGGGCAUUUCUCGCAUACACAAAAUUCACAUACUGUACAGUGUGAACGCACUGCCUACUCAAUUCAGAGGCGGGGUUAGUAGGAGUAGUAGGAGUAGUAGGCCAUUUCGGACACAGCCCAACUCUCU
Non-coding RNA from Xyrichtys novacula (pearly razorfish), 1288 nucleotides. Lineage: Eukaryota; Metazoa; Chordata; Actinopteri; Labriformes; Labridae. The record is from the annotation of a GenBank genome assembly.